This 78-nucleotide transfer RNA is filed under the name Alphaproteobacteria bacterium. Its description in RNAcentral is "tRNA-Asp". It matches the Rfam family "tRNA". From Rfam's summary of the family: Transfer RNA (tRNA) molecules are approximately 80 nucleotides in length. Their secondary structure includes four short double-helical elements and three loops (D, anti-codon, and T loops). The record is from RNAcentral. RNAcentral also lists the same sequence under 1 other name. Lineage: Bacteria; Pseudomonadati; Pseudomonadota; Alphaproteobacteria.
GGGGGUGUAGCUCAGUUGGUUUAGAGCGCCUGCCUGUCACGCAGGAAGUCGAGGGUUCGAGUCCCUUCACUCCCGCCA